RNAcentral lists this unclassified non-coding RNA (334 nucleotides) under rhizosphere metagenome. RNAcentral's name for it is "partial ribosomal RNA internal transcribed spacer region". The record is from RNAcentral.
GUAGGUGAACCUGCGGAAGGAUCAUCAUUAAAUCCAAUUUAUUCACCCUUGUGAACUGUGUGCUAGGAUUGUACGAAUUUCGUGCAAUUCCUCAUGACGCUUCAUAGUCGUAGUUGUGUGAGAGAGAUGUGCUGCGAAUGUGUUGAAGUUUCUGAGCAACAAUGGUGGUGGCAUUUGCCGCCACUGUUAAGCUUGGGAGUUAAAUGCUUUGUUGCCUCUCCUCCUUGACCACUUCUGCGUUCUGUGUUAGUGUCGAGCAAAAACACCUAUAUUUAUGAAAGCUAAUGCAAAAAUUUAAAUUAAACAACUUUCAACAAUGGAUCUCUUGGCUCUC